UACGUAGGGGGCAAGCGUUGUCCGGAUUUAUUGGGCGUAGAGAGCGUGUAGGCGGCCAGGUAGGUCCGUUGUGAAAACUCGAGGCUCAACCUCGAGACGCCGAUGGAAACCAUCUGGCUAGAGUCCGGAAGAGGAGAGUGGAAUUCCCGGUGUAGCGGUGAAAUGCGCAGAUAUCGGGAGGAACACCGGUGGCGAAGGCGGUUCUCUGGGCCUGACCUGACGCUGAGGAGCGAAAGCGUGGGGAGCGAACAGG
RNAcentral lists this ribosomal RNA (253 nucleotides) under uncultured bacterium. RNAcentral describes it as "partial 16S ribosomal RNA". It matches the Rfam family "Bacterial small subunit ribosomal RNA", at positions 524 to 776 of the family's 1533-position model. The record is from RNAcentral.